This 253-nucleotide ribosomal RNA is filed under the name uncultured bacterium. RNAcentral describes it as "partial 16S ribosomal RNA". It matches the Rfam family "Bacterial small subunit ribosomal RNA", at positions 524 to 776 of the family's 1533-position model. The record is from RNAcentral.
UACGAAGGGGGCUAGCGUUGCUCGGAAUCACUGGGCGUAAAGGGUGCGUAGGCGGGUCUUUACGUCAGGGGUGAAAUCCUGGAGCUCAACUCCAGAACUGCCUUUGAUACUGAGGAUCUUGAGUUGGGGAGAGGUGAGUGGAACUGCGAGUGUAGAGGUGAAAUUCGUAGAUAUUCGCAAGAACACCAGUGGCGAAGGCGGCUCACUGGCCCGAUACUGACGCUGAGGCACGAAAGCGUGGGGAGCAAACAGG